This 255-nucleotide ribosomal RNA is filed under the name uncultured bacterium. Its description in RNAcentral is "partial 16S ribosomal RNA". It matches the Rfam family "Bacterial small subunit ribosomal RNA", at positions 332 to 605 of the family's 1533-position model. The record is from RNAcentral.
GAUACCCUACGGGAGGCAGCAGUGGGGAAUAUUGCACAAUGGCGGAAACCCUGAUGCAGCAACGCCGCGUGAGUGAAGAAGUAUUUCGGUAUGUAAAGCUCUAUCAGCAGGGAAGAAGAUGACGGUACCUGAGUAAGAAGCCCCGGCUAACUACGUGCCAGCAGCCGCGGUAAUACGUAGGGGGCAAGCGUUAUCCGGAUUUACUGGGUGUAAAGGGAGCGUAGACGGUGAGACAAGUCUGAAGUGAAAGCCAGG